Molecule: ribosomal RNA, 253 nt
Filed under: uncultured bacterium
Lineage: Bacteria
Description: partial 16S ribosomal RNA
Rfam family: Bacterial small subunit ribosomal RNA
Source: RNAcentral
UACAGAGGGGGCAAGCGUUAUUCGGAAUUAUUGGGCGUAAAGGGCGCGUAGGCGGCUUGGCAAGUGGAUGGUGAAAUCCCUCGGCUUAACCGAGGAACUGCCGUCCAAACUGCUUAGCUUGAGACCGGGAGAGGUGAGUGGAAUUCCCAGUGUAGUGGUGAAAUGCGUAGAUAUUGGGAGGAACACCAGUGGCGAAGGCGGCUCACUGGACCGGUACUGACGCUGAUGCGCGAAAGCGUGGGGAGCAAACGGG